Molecule: ribosomal RNA, 842 nt
Filed under: uncultured bacterium
Lineage: Bacteria
Description: bacterial SSU rRNA
Rfam family: Bacterial small subunit ribosomal RNA
Source: RNAcentral
CGGGAAGUGCUUGCACUAAACAAUCUUUUCAUAACUUAGUGGCGGACGGGUGAGUAACGCGUGGGUAACCUGCCCUGUACUGGGGGACAACAGUUGGAAACGACUGCUAAUACCGCAUAAGCGCACGGGAUCGCAUGAUCGUGUGUGAAAAACUCCGGUGGUACAGGAUGGACCCGCGUCUGAUUAGCUGGUUGGUGAGGUAACGGCCCACCAAGGCAACGAUCAGUAGCCGGCCUGAGAGGGUGAACGGCCACAUUGGGACUGAGACACGGCCCAAACUCCUACGGGAGGCAGCAGUGGGGAAUAUUGCACAAUGGGGGAAACCCUGAUGCAGCGACGCCGCGUGAGUGAAGAAGUAUUUCGGUAUGUAAAGCUCUAUCAGCAGGGAAGAAAAUGACGGUACCUGACUAAGAAGCCCCGGCUAACUACGUGCCAGCAGCCGCGGUAAUACGUAGGGGGCAAGCGUUAUCCGGAUUUACUGGGUGUAAAGGGAGCGUAGACGGCAUGGCAAGUCUGAAGUGAAAUGCGGGGGCUCAACCCCUGAACUGCUUUGGAAACUGUCAGGCUGGAGUGCAGGAGAGGUAAGUGGAAUUCCUAGUGUAGCGGUGAAAUGCGUAGAUAUUAGGAGGAACACCAGUGGCGAAGGCGGCUUACUGGACUGUAACUGACGUUGAGGCUCGAAAGCGUGGGGAGCAAACAGGAUUAGAUACCCUGGUAGUCCACGCCGUAAACGAUGAUUACUAGGUGUUGGGGAUUAAUAAAUCCUCGGUGCCGUCGCAAACGCAAUAAGUAAUCCACCUGGGGAGUACGUUCGCAAGAAUGAAACUCAAAUGAAUUGACGG